Transfer RNA from Ovis aries (sheep), 72 nucleotides. It matches the Rfam family "tRNA". From Rfam's summary of the family: Transfer RNA (tRNA) molecules are approximately 80 nucleotides in length. NCBI's taxonomy places the organism in Eukaryota, Metazoa, Chordata, Mammalia, Artiodactyla, Bovidae. The record is from Rfam.
UCCCUUGUAGUUCAGUCGGUAAAGCAUCUGCCUGCAAUGCGGGAGACCCGGGUUUGAUCCCUGGGUUGGGAA